This 796-nucleotide ribosomal RNA is filed under the name Tricharina sp. RNAcentral describes it as "partial large subunit ribosomal RNA". It matches the Rfam family "Eukaryotic large subunit ribosomal RNA", at positions 86 to 896 of the family's 3401-position model. Lineage: Eukaryota; Fungi; Ascomycota; Pezizomycetes; Pezizales; Pyronemataceae. The record is from RNAcentral.
ACUGCGAGUGAAGCGGCAAAAGCUCAAAUUUGAAAUCGGUGUCCUUUUCGGGCAUCGAGUUGUAAUUUGGAGGGAUAACUUCGGUACGGACUGCAUCGUAAGUUCCUUGGAACAGGACGUCAUAGAGGGUGAGAAUCCCGUGUCUUGGUGUUUGGCCGUGCCAUGUGAAGUGUCUCCGACGAGUCGAGUUGUUUGGGAAUGCAGCUCAAAAUGGGUGGUAAAUUUCAUCUAAAGCUAAAUAUUGGCGAGAGACCGAUAGCGCACAAGUAGAGUGAUCGAAAGAUGAAAAGCACUUUGAAAAGAGAGUUAAAAAGUACGUGAAAUUGUUGAAAGGGAAGCGCUUGCGACCAGACUCGAUCUUUGGUGAUCAGCCGGGCUUCGGUCCGGUGCCCUCACCAUUGAUUGGGCCAGCAUCGGUUCUGACGGCGGGAUAAAAGGAGGAGGAAUGUGGCUCCCUUCGGGGAGUGUUAUAGCCUCCUUCACAAUGCCGCCAGUUGGGACCGAGGACCGCGCUUCGGCUAGGAUGCUGGCGUAAUGGUCUUAAGCGACCCGUCUUGAAACACGGACCAAGGAGUCUAACAUCUAUGCGAGUGUUCGGGUGGAAAACCCUUGCGCGUAAUGAAAGUGAACGGAGGUGUGAACCCUUUACCGGGUGCAACAUCGACCGGUCCUGAUGUCUUCGGAAGGAUCUGAGUAAGAGCAUAGCUGUUGGGACCCGAAAGAUGGUGAACUAUGCCUGAAUAGGGUGAAGCCAGAGGAAACUCUGGUGGAGGCUCGCAGCGGUUCUGACGUGCAA